UGCCAGCCGCCGCGGUAACACGGGGGGCGCAAGCGUUAUUCGGAAUUAUUGGGCGUAAAGGGCGCGCAGGCGGUCUUGUCCGUCAGGUGUGAAAGCUCGGGGCUCAACCCCGGAAGUGCACUUGAAACAGCAAGACUUGAAUACGGUAGAGGAGAGAGGAAUUCCUGGUGUAGAGGUGAAAUUCGUAGAUAUCAAGAGGAACGCCGGUGGCGAAAGCGACUCUCUGGACCGUUCCUGACACUGAGGUGCGAAAGCUAGGGGAGCAAACAGGAUUAGAUA
This 279-nucleotide ribosomal RNA is filed under the name uncultured bacterium. RNAcentral's name for it is "partial 16S ribosomal RNA". It matches the Rfam family "Bacterial small subunit ribosomal RNA", at positions 506 to 784 of the family's 1533-position model. The record is from RNAcentral.